This 468-nucleotide ribosomal RNA is filed under the name uncultured bacterium. Its description in RNAcentral is "partial 16S ribosomal RNA". It matches the Rfam family "Bacterial small subunit ribosomal RNA", at positions 28 to 507 of the family's 1533-position model. The record is from RNAcentral.
GACGAACGCUGGCGGCGUGCUUAACACAUGCAAGUCGAACGGAAAGGCCCUGCUUUUGUGGGGUGCUCGAGUGGCAAACGGGCGAGUAACACGUGAGUAACCUGCCCUUGACUUUGGGAUAACUUCAGGAAACUGGGGCUAAUACCGGAUAGGAGCUCCUGCUCCAUGGUGGGUGUUGGAAAGUUUCGGCGGUUGGGGAUGGACUCGCGGCUUAUCAGCUUGUUGGUGGGGUAGUGGCUUACCAAGGCUUGGACGGGUAGCCGGCCUGAGAGGGUGACCGGCCACAUUGGGACUGAGAUACGGCCCAGAGUCGUACGGGAGGCAGGAGUGGGGAAUAUUGCACAAUGGGCGGAAGCCUGAUGCAGCAACGCCGCGUGCGGGAUGGCGGCCUUCGGGUUGUAAACCGCUUUCGCCUGUGACGAAGCGUGAGUGACGGUAAUGGGUAAAGAAGCACCGGCUAACUACGUG